Molecule: ribosomal RNA, 721 nt
Filed under: Vibrio sp. NIO_F8
Lineage: Bacteria; Pseudomonadati; Pseudomonadota; Gammaproteobacteria; Vibrionales; Vibrionaceae
Description: bacterial SSU rRNA
Rfam family: Bacterial small subunit ribosomal RNA
Source: RNAcentral
CGAGUUAUCUGACCUUCGGGGGACGAUAACGGCGUCGAGCGGCGGACGGGUGAGUAAUGCCUAGGAAAUUGCCCUGAUGUGGGGGAUAACCAUUGGAAACGAUGGCUAAUACCGCAUGAUGCCUACGGGCCAAAGAGGGGGACCUUCGGGCCUCUCGCGUCAGGAUAUGCCUAGGUGGGAUUAGCUAGUUGGUGAGGUAAGGGCUCACCAAGGCGACGAUCCCUAGCUGGUCUGAGAGGAUGAUCAGCCACACUGGAACUGAGACACGGUCCAGACUCCUACGGGAGGCAGCAGUGGGGAAUAUUGCACAAUGGGCGCAAGCCUGAUGCAGCCAUGCCGCGUGUGUGAAGAAGGCCUUCGGGUUGUAAAGCACUUUCAGUCGUGAGGAAGGUAGUGUAGUUAAUAGCUGCAUUAUUUGACGUUAGCGACAGAAGAAGCACCGGCUAACUCCGUGCCAGCAGCCGCGGUAAUACGGAGGGUGCGAGCGUUAAUCGGAAUUACUGGGCGUAAAGCGCAUGCAGGUGGUUUGUUAAGUCAGAUGUGAAAGCCCGGGGCUCAACCUCGGAAUUGCAUUUGAAACUGGCAGACUAGAGUACUGUAGAGGGGGGUAGAAUUUCAGGUGUAGCGGUGAAAUGCGUAGAGAUCUGAAAGGAAUACCGGUGGCGAAAGGCGGCCCCCUGGACAGAUACUGACACUCAGAUGCGAAAGCGUGGGGAGCAAA